RNAcentral lists this small RNA (78 nucleotides) under Rhizobium sp. AG855. RNAcentral's name for it is "suhB". The stretch from base 1 to 69 matches the Rfam family "Alphaproteobacterial ar15", at positions 44 to 112 of the family's 112-position model. The record is from RNAcentral. Lineage: Bacteria; Pseudomonadati; Pseudomonadota; Alphaproteobacteria; Hyphomicrobiales; Rhizobiaceae.
AGCUGUUCCCCUCUGGAGGUUUUAACCUUCACAAUUUAAAGGGCCCUGGUUUUCCAGUGGCCCUCUUUUUUUGGCUUU